UAAACGACUCUCGGCAACGGAUAUCUCGGCUCUCGCAUCAAUGAAGAACGUAGCGAAAUGCGAUACUUGGUGUGAAUUGCAGAAUCCCGUGAACCAUCGAGUCUUUGAACGCAAGUUGCGCCCGAAGCCUUCUGGCCGAGGGCACGUCUGCCUGGGCGUCACGCAUCGCGUCGC
This 174-nucleotide ribosomal RNA is filed under the name Chelonopsis moschata. RNAcentral describes it as "5.8S ribosomal RNA". The stretch from base 6 to 161 matches the Rfam family "5.8S ribosomal RNA". From Rfam's summary of the family: 5.8S ribosomal RNA (5.8S rRNA) is a component of the large subunit of the eukaryotic ribosome. It is transcribed by RNA polymerase I as part of the 45S precursor that also contains 18S and 28S rRNA. Lineage: Eukaryota; Viridiplantae; Streptophyta; Magnoliopsida; Lamiales; Lamiaceae. The record is from RNAcentral.